Molecule: small nucleolar RNA, 135 nt
Filed under: Echinops telfairi (small Madagascar hedgehog)
Lineage: Eukaryota; Metazoa; Chordata; Mammalia; Afrosoricida; Tenrecidae
Description: Small nucleolar RNA U3 (ENSETEG00000025271.1)
Rfam family: Small nucleolar RNA U3 (bases 1-91)
About the family: Small nucleolar RNAs (snoRNAs) are involved in the processing and modification of rRNA in the nucleolus. There are two main classes of snoRNAs: the box C/D class, and the box H/ACA class. U3 snoRNA is a member of the box C/D class.
Source: RNAcentral
UUGACUAUACUUUCAGGGAUCAUUUCUAUAGUUUGUUUAUAUUUGUUUUAUGCAAAGGCAGUCAUCUGUGUGGAUCAUAACAAACAAUGGAUAGUCUUGAGAAGCAUUCUUAAGCACUCCAUUGUGCUCCUGCAG